CAUCGGGGGGUAGAGCACUGUUUAGGCUAGGGGGUCAUGGCGACUUACCAAACCUAUGCAAACUCCGAAUACCGAUGAGUACAGCUUGGGAGACAGAGCACCGGGUGCUAACGUCCGGACUCAAGAGGGAAACAACCCAGACCGCCAGCUAAGGUCCCUAAAAUUGGCUAAGUGGGAAACGAAGUGGGAAGGCUAAAACAGUCAGGAUGUUGGCUUAGAAGCAGCCAUCAUUUAAAGAAAGCGUAAUAGCUCACUGAUCGAGUCGUCCUGCGCGGAAGAUGUAACGGGGCUAAGCCAGUUACCGAAGCUGCGGAUUCACAGUUUACUGUGAGUGGUAGGAGAGCGUUCUGUAAGCCUGAGAAGGUGUCUUGAGAAGGAUGCUGGAGGUAUCAGAAGUGCGAAUGCUGACAUGAGUAGCGUUAAAGGGGGUGAAAAGCCCCCUCGCCGAAAGCGCAAGGUUUCCUACGCAACGUUCAUCGGCGUA
RNAcentral lists this ribosomal RNA (484 nucleotides) under uncultured bacterium. RNAcentral's name for it is "bacterial LSU rRNA". It matches the Rfam family "Bacterial large subunit ribosomal RNA", at positions 894 to 1376 of the family's 2925-position model. The record is from RNAcentral.